Molecule: ribosomal RNA, 2021 nt
Filed under: Sclerophasma paresisense
Lineage: Eukaryota; Metazoa; Arthropoda; Insecta; Mantophasmatodea; Mantophasmatidae
Description: SSU rRNA
Rfam family: Eukaryotic small subunit ribosomal RNA
Source: RNAcentral
CAUGCACGUGUAAGUGCAAGCCAGCACAAGGUGAAACCGCGAAUGGCUCAUUAAAUCAGUCAUGAUUCAUUGGAUGAUGACCACGUUACUUGGAUAACUGUGGUAAUUCUAGAGCUAAUACAUGCAAACACAGUGCCCGACCCUCACGGGAAGGGACGCUUUUAUUAGAUCAAAAUCAAUGCGGUCGUUCGGCCUCGGUCGGGCGGCUGGUUGUUCUUGGUGACUCUGAAUAAAGGAAGGGAUCGCACGGUCCAGCACCGGCGACGCAUCCUUCAAAUGUCUGCCUUAUCAACUGUCGAUGGUAGGCUCCUUGCCUACCAUGGUUGUAACGGGUAACGGGGAAUCAGGGUUCGAUUCCGGAGAGGGAGCCUGAGAAACGGCUACCACAUCCAAGGAAGGCAGCAGGCGCGCAAAUUACCCACUCCCGGCACGGGGAGGUAGUGACGAAAAAUAACGAUGCGGGACUCAUCCGAGGCCCCGUAAUCGGAAUGAGGACACUUUAAAUCCUUUACCGAGUACCUAUUGGAGGGCAAGUCUGGUGCCAGCAGCCGCGGUAAUUCCAGCUCCAAUAGCGUAUAUUAAAGUUGUUGCGGUUAAAAAGCUCGUAGUUGGACUUGUGUCCCGCGCUGCCGGUUCGCCGCCCGUCGGCGUUCAACUGGCAUGUCGCGGGGACGUCCUGCCGGCGGCCCGCGGCCCGGCGGUGUGCGAGGUGGCCUUCUGGCUCCGUACGACGGGGGUCCGCCCCCGCGCCCGGCGGAUGUUGUCGGCUCGCUGAGUCCCGCCGUGUGCCAAGGGCCCUUGACUAGCCGUUGGGGUGCUCUUAACCGAGUGUCUCGAUGGGCCGGCACGUUUACUUUGAACAAAUUAGAGUGCUCAACGCAGGCCAUGCUGUGCCGUUGAAUAUCUGUGCAUGGAAUAAUGGAAGAGGACCUCGCCUCCAGUUUGUUGGUUUUCGGAAGGCGAGGUAAUGAUUAAGAGGGACUGACGGGGGCAUUCGUAUUGCGACGUUAGAGGUGAAAUUCUUGGAUCGUCGCAAGACGGACCGAAGCGAAAGCAUUUGCCAAGGAUGUUUUCAUUAAUCAAGAACGAAAGUUAGAGGUUCGAAGGCGAUCAGAUACCGCCCUAGUUCUAACCAUAAACGAUGCCAGCUGGCGAUCCGCCCAAGUUCCUCCGAUGACUAGGCGGGCAGCCCCCCCGGGAAACCUAAGCUUUUGGGUUCCGGGGGAAGUAUGGUUGCAAAGCUGAAACUUAAAGGAAUUGACGGAAGGGCACCACCAGGAGUGGAGCCUGCGGCUUAAUUUGACUCAACACGGGAAACCUCACCAGGCCCGGACACUGGAAGGAUUGACAGAUUGAGAGCUCUUUCUUGAUUCAGUGGGUGGUGGUGCAUGGCCGUUCUUAGUUGGUGGAGCGAUUUGUCUGGUUAAUUCCGAUAACGAACGAGACUCUGGCCUACUAACUAGUCGCGGGCCGCGCUCGGUUGGUCCCCGGCCGGCGGCGGAUUUCUUGUUCGUGCGUACCUCCGGGUCGUGCGGGCGGGUGCCGUUGUCCGCGUCGGGCCUCCGGGUUGUCGGUCCAGCCCGGUAUCAGCCGCAAGGAUAGCUACCGGCGCAAUUCAAAUCUUCUUAGAGGGACAGGCGGCUUCUAGCCGCACGAGAUUGAGCAAUAACAGGUCUGUGAUGCCCUUAGAUGUUCUGGGCCGCACGCGCGCUACACUGAAGGAAUCAGCGUGUCUUAUCCCUGCCCGAGAGGGCCGGGUAACCCGUUGAACCUCCUUCGUGCUAGGGAUUGGGGCUUGCAAUUGUUCCCCAUGAACGAGGAAUUCCCAGUAAGUGCGAGUCAUAAGCUCGCGUUGAUUACGUCCCUGCCCUUUGUACACACCGCCCGUCGCUACUACCGAUUGAAUGAUUUAGUGAGGUCUUCGGAACGGUGCGCGGCGGUCCUCCGGGUUUCGCUCGCGUCGCUGUGAAGAUGACCGAACUUGAUCAUUUAGAGGAAGUAAAAGUCGUAACAAGGUUUCC